Pogoniulus pusillus (Red-fronted tinkerbird) is the source of this 346-nucleotide long non-coding RNA. RefSeq lists it as uncharacterized. The record is from RefSeq and is a predicted model, not a curated record. The transcript is spliced from 4 exons. NCBI's taxonomy places the organism in Eukaryota, Metazoa, Chordata, Aves, Piciformes, Lybiidae.
GUGGUGAGUGGACAAUUACACACAUCUCCCUGCUGAACUACUGAAAUCAGAAAGGCUGUGGUAAAUGAAUGACGUUUGAGCGAGGUGUGAAAUGUGAAGGUACAAAAUUAACUGGUGGAUCAGAAACAGAAUUGAAGCUAUUUUAUCUGGACCUAAUUAAACAACCUUCAUUACUGGCAGAGUCCAGUUAUAUCCAACUGGUAAAUUAAGCUCUGUCUGUUGAAUCAAAGGAAUACUCCUUACUGCCAGCUGCAGCUCCAGCCUGUGGAAUAGAUGUCACACCUCCUCAGUGUCACUUGAAUGGCACAUUAAAGUAAUUAAAUCCUAUGAUAAGUUUUGUCUGUUC